RNAcentral lists this ribosomal RNA (253 nucleotides) under uncultured bacterium. RNAcentral describes it as "partial 16S ribosomal RNA". It matches the Rfam family "Bacterial small subunit ribosomal RNA", at positions 524 to 776 of the family's 1533-position model. The record is from RNAcentral.
UACGGAGGGUGCAAGCGUUAUCCGGAUUCACUGGGUUUAAAGGGUGCGUAGGUGGGUUGGUAAGUCAGUGGUGAAAUCUCCGAGCUUAACUUGGAAACUGCCAUUGAUACUAGCAGUCUUGAAUAUUGUGGAGGUCAGCGGAAUAUGUCAUGUAGCGGUGAAAUGCUUAGAUAUGACAUAGAACACCAAUUGCGAAGGCAGCUGGCUAAGCAUAUAUUGACACUGAGGCACGAAAGCGUGGGGAUCAAACAGG